RNAcentral lists this ribosomal RNA (495 nucleotides) under uncultured bacterium. Its description in RNAcentral is "partial 16S ribosomal RNA". It matches the Rfam family "Bacterial small subunit ribosomal RNA", at positions 28 to 507 of the family's 1533-position model. The record is from RNAcentral.
GACGAACGCUGGCGGCGUGCCUAAUACAUGCAAGUAGAACGCUGAAGGAGGAGCUUGCUUCUCCGGAUGAGUUGCGAACGGGUGAGUAUCGCGUAGGUAACCUGCCUGGUAGCGGGGGAUAACUAUUGGAAACGAUAGCUAAUACCGCAUAACAGUAGAUGUUGCAUGACAUUUGCUUAAAAGGUGCAAUUGCAUCACUACCAGAUGGACCUGCGUUGUAUUAGCUAGUUGGUGAGGUAACGGCUCACCAAGGCGACGAUACAUAGCCGACCUGAGAGGGGGGUCGGCCACACUUGGACUGAGACACGGCCCAGACUCCUACGGGAGGCAGCAGUAGGGAAUCUUCGGCAAUGGACGGAAGUCUGACCGAGCAACGCCGCGUGGGUGAAGAAGGUUUUCGGAUCGUAAAGCUCUGUUGUAAGAGAAGAACGAGUGUGAGAGUGGAAAGUUCACACUGUGACGGUAUCUUACCAGAAAGGGACGGCUAACUACGUG